ACAAAAAAAAAAAAAAAAAAAUCCACGAAAAAACAAGAGAUCAUUCCAUCUGAAGUUAAACCGAGACUGCUCCUCCAUCUCUCGUAAUGGCUCUAGGAGAUUGCUUCUCCAAAAGCAACCUGUUUUGAUCACUAGUGGGGCUGCCUCUCACGGUCACAGGUUCUAAACAUUAAGUCGGAUUUGAGGGCAAAUCCUUUUGAAGGAGGAGGGGAUGAUGUGACCUUGUUCAGCAACAAGCCAAUGUCGUAUAAUAUAUCAAUCUGACGGCAAUUCAGAGACCGUCGAUCAUGCAAAAAGAUACAACCAGCCAAGAAAUUCUGCGAACACAAUUUCCCAAAUUUGGUCAACAGUCUUGGUCUUUGGUCAAGUCAAUAUUCCUAGUCAAGUCUUCAUAGUUUUAAAAGCUUUAUAGUUUCAAGGAUUGACUAGAUUAUUUAAUUCUACAGAUUGCCUAUUAUAUAAAGGCUUGCUUUGUAUUGUUUUAUUUCAUUCAACCCUUUUAAUAAAAAUCUACUUUUUAAAUUUGUUGAAUCCUUUGUUCUUUGGAACAUCGUAAUGCUACGAGAGUGAUCUCCGUAAGCACGGUCUUGUUCACUAGUGGGGCUGCCUCUCACGGACUAAGACCAACCAACAAGUAUUUGGCCUUCCGCAGCCUUAUACUGAAGAACCAUCGAUCCACCUUUCCUUUGAUCCAUCUUUGGGUCAAAGCUUAUCUUUUUCACCAACCUUUGAGUGCAUUUCUUGGGAGAUUUUCUAUUACACCGGC
RNAcentral lists this long non-coding RNA (766 nucleotides) under Brassica napus (rape). Its description in RNAcentral is "long non-coding RNA (BNAP_LNC001581)". The record is from RNAcentral. Lineage: Eukaryota; Viridiplantae; Streptophyta; Magnoliopsida; Brassicales; Brassicaceae.